AUGCAUAGAUAUGACAUAGGACACCAAUAGCGAAGGCAGCUUACCAGAUCAUAACUGACACUGAGGGACGAAAGCUUGGGGAGCGAACAGGAUUAGAUACCCUGGUAGUCCACGCCGUAAACGAUGAUCACUAGACAUUGGCGACAUACUGUCGGUGUCAAAGCGAAAGUAUUAAGUGAUCCACCUGGGGAGUACGCCGGCAACGGUGAAACUCAAAGGAAUUGACGGGGGCCCGCACAAGCGGUGGAGCAUGUGGUUUAAUUCGAUGAUACGCGAGGAACCUUACCUGGGCUUAAAUGCAGAACGACCGAUCCGGAAGCGGAUCUUUCUUCGGACGGACUGCAAGGUGCUGCAUGGUUGUCGUCAGCUCGUGCCGUGAGGUGUCGGGUUAAGUCCCAUAACGAGCGCAACCCCUAUCGUUAGUUGCCAGCGGAUAAUGCCGGGGACUCUAACGAAACUGCCCGUGCAAGCGGAGAGGAAGGUGGGGAUGACGUCAAAUCAUCACGGCCCUUACGUCCAGGGCUACACACGUGCUACAAUGGCGCAUACAAAGGGCAGCUACCACGCGAGUGGAUGCUAAUCUCUAAAGUGCGUCUCAGUUCGGAUUGAAGUCUGCAACUCGACUUCAUGAAGCUGGAAUCGCUAGUAAUCGCGCAUCAGCCAUGGCGCGGUGAUACGUUCCCGGGCCUUGACACACCGCCCGUCAAGCCAUGGAAGCUGGGGGUGCC
RNAcentral lists this ribosomal RNA (728 nucleotides) under uncultured organism. RNAcentral's name for it is "bacterial SSU rRNA". It matches the Rfam family "Bacterial small subunit ribosomal RNA", at positions 686 to 1421 of the family's 1533-position model. The record is from RNAcentral.